Sorex fumeus (smoky shrew) is the source of this 122-nucleotide small nucleolar RNA. RefSeq annotates it as small nucleolar RNA SNORA13. The transcript has a single exon. The record is from RefSeq and is a predicted model, not a curated record. NCBI's taxonomy places the organism in Eukaryota, Metazoa, Chordata, Mammalia, Eulipotyphla, Soricidae.
CGCCUUUGUGUUGCUCUUUCACUUUGGAAACUAGUGAACCUGGUGUCAAGCAAGGCGUAAAGUAAGGGUUUUCCGGCCUGUGAACUGCGGUCUCCAUCGUGGGAACUGCACGAGGAACAGGC